CCUACGGGAGGCUGCAGUGGGGGAUAUUGCACAAUGGGGGGAACCCUGCUGCAGCGACGCCGCGUGGGUGAAGAAGCGCCUCGGCGCGUAAAGCCCUGUCAGCAGGGAAGAAAAUGACGGUCCCUGAAGAAGAAGCCCCGGCUAACUAGGUGCCAGCAGCCGCGGUAAUACGUAGGGGGCAAGCGUUCUCCGGAUUUACUGGGUGUAAAGGGGGCGCAGACGGCGAUGCAAGCCAGGAGUGAAAGCCCGGGGCCCAACCCCGGGACUGCGCUUGGAACUGCGUGGCUGGAGGGCAGGAGGGGCAGGCGGAAUUCCUGGUGUAGCGGUGAAAUGCGUAGAUAUCAGGAGGAACACCGGUGGCGAAGGCGGCCUGCUGGACUGCAACUGACGUUGAGGCCCGAAAGCGUGGGGAGCAAACAGGAUUAGAUACCCCAGUAGUC
This 440-nucleotide ribosomal RNA is filed under the name uncultured bacterium. RNAcentral's name for it is "partial 16S ribosomal RNA". It matches the Rfam family "Bacterial small subunit ribosomal RNA", at positions 338 to 795 of the family's 1533-position model. The record is from RNAcentral.